RNAcentral lists this ribosomal RNA (780 nucleotides) under Triticum aestivum (bread wheat). Its description in RNAcentral is "partial small subunit ribosomal RNA". Lineage: Eukaryota; Viridiplantae; Streptophyta; Magnoliopsida; Poales; Poaceae. The record is from RNAcentral.
AUGUGUGAUCAUGUCGUCGGCGCCACCACCACCUUCGCCCUCUGGCACAAGAUCAAGGACUAUUUCCUCGCCAACCGCGCCGCCUGCUUUAUGAUCCUCAACUGCCAGUACCGCAAUCUCAAGCAGGGGGAUCUCUCUGUCUCGGAGUACGAGCGCCGCAUGAAGCAGCUCACCGACGCCCUUGCCGACAUCGACCACGGUGUCAAAGAGGUGGAUCUCACAACGCAGUUCCUGCAUGGGCUCGACAAGCGCCUCGAAACAAUUCGGGUCGUUCUUGGCGAUCAGACGCUCCCCUUCGACACCGUCCUUUCCCGCGUUAUCCUGGCAGAGGAGUCCCAGGCUCAGCGCGCGGCGGAGGAGAGCGCCUCGGCUUUCGCCAUGCCGGGCGGUGGCUCGUCGAGCGACCUUUCCGGCGCCGGUGGACGCGCCCCAAUUGACCGUGUCGAUCGGUCUUCCGGCACCAACUACGAGCGCUCCUACGGGGCCCCUCCUGCCUCCGGUCGUGGGCGCGGCGAUCGCUCUAGCGACGGUGGUGAUCGUGGCCGCGGGCGCGGCCGUGGGCGUGGCCGUGGCCGUGGUGACAGCGGCAGGCGUGGCCAGCCUUCUCCAGCGCCGUUCUCUCCGUUCACCGGCUACUUCGCCCCCUAUGGCAUGGCGCUCCUGGCACCGCGUUCCGGCUGGAUCCCACCCAGCGCGGCUGGCGUGCUCGGCCCCCGCCCGGGUGUCCAUGCUCAGGCGUACCAUGCUUACACGCCCCCGACGCCACCCGCACCGUUCUAG